GGAAAGUAAGGCUCACCAA
RNAcentral lists this small nuclear RNA (19 nucleotides) under Arabidopsis thaliana (thale cress). RNAcentral describes it as "snRNA_03041". The record is from RNAcentral. Lineage: Eukaryota; Viridiplantae; Streptophyta; Magnoliopsida; Brassicales; Brassicaceae.